Molecule: ribosomal RNA, 744 nt
Filed under: uncultured bacterium
Lineage: Bacteria
Description: bacterial SSU rRNA
Rfam family: Bacterial small subunit ribosomal RNA
Source: RNAcentral
GCUGGCGGCGUGCCUAAUACAUGCAAGUAGAACGCUGAGGUUUGGUGUUUACACUAGACUGAUGAGUUGCGAACGGGUGAGUAACGCGUAGGUAACCUGCCUCAUAGCGGGGGAUAACUAUUGGAAACGAUAGCUAAUACCGCAUAAGAGUAAUUAACACAUGUUAGUUAUUUAAAAGGAGCAAUUGCUUCACUGUGAGAUGGACCUGCGUUGUAUUAGCUAGUUGGUGAGGUAAAGGCUCACCAAGGCGACGAUACAUAGCCGACCUGAGAGGGUGAUCGGCCACACUGGGACUGAGACACGGCCCAGACUCCUACGGGAGGCAGCAGUAGGGAAUCUUCGGCAAUGGACGGAAGUCUGACCGAGCAACGCCGCGUGAGUGAAGAAGGUUUUCGGAUCGUAAAGCUCUGUUGUUAGGGAAGAGCGUUGGUAGGAGUGGAAAAUCUACCAAGUGACGGUAACUAACCAGAAAGGGACGGCUAACUACGUGCCAGCAGCCGCGGUAAUACGUAGGUCCCGAGCGUUGUCCGGAUUUAUUGGGCGUAAAGCGAGCGCAGGCGGUUCUUUAAGUCUGAAGUUAAAGGCAGUGGCUUAACCAUUGUACGCUUUGGAAACUGGAGGACUUGAGUGCAGAAGGGGAGAGUGGAAUUCCAUGUGUAGCGGUGAAAUGCGUAGAUAUAUGGAGGAACACCGGUGGCGAAAGCGGCUCUCUGGUCUGUAACUGACGCUGAGGCUCGAAAGCGU